RNAcentral lists this ribosomal RNA (324 nucleotides) under uncultured eukaryote. RNAcentral describes it as "partial 18S ribosomal RNA". It matches the Rfam family "Eukaryotic small subunit ribosomal RNA", at positions 1470 to 1796 of the family's 1831-position model. The record is from RNAcentral.
CCCUUAGAUGUUCUGGGCCGCACGCGCGCUACACUGAUGCAUUCAACGAGUUUCUUCCUGGUCCGAGAGGAAUGGGUAACCUUUUGAAAGUGCAUCGUGAUAGGGAUAGACUAUUGCAAUUAUUGGUCUUCAACGAGGAAUUCCUAGUAGACGUAGUUCAGCAGACUGCAUCGAUUACGUCCCUGCCCUUUGUACACACCGCCCGUCGCUCCUACCGAUUGAAUGCUCAGGUGAGCCAUUCGGACUUUCAUCAUGCUGGUUUCCAGUUUUGAUGAAGGAAAGUCUUGCGAACCUUAUCAUUUAGAGGAAGGAGAAGUCGUAACA